RNAcentral lists this long non-coding RNA (295 nucleotides) under Elaeis guineensis (African oil palm). Its description in RNAcentral is "long non-coding RNA (EGUI_LNC030273)". The record is from RNAcentral. Lineage: Eukaryota; Viridiplantae; Streptophyta; Magnoliopsida; Arecales; Arecaceae.
ACCCGGAUGGUCAAGGAUAAGGUAAAGAAAUAUUAGUUCAUUUACAUGUAAAUUUAGUACCAUAUGCUUUUGUUUUUUUAAAGGUAUAGUCUAGUUGAUUGGGAUCAAUUACGAGAUCCAAUUAAAAUAUAGUUGAGCAAAUUAUGCUAUGAUUUGGUUCGAUUAUAAUUUAAUAUUUGAGAAAUUAUUGUUAAAGUUUUCAUGAAGUUUUAUUUAUUUAUAUGUCUCUUCUCUACAUGUUUGUCUCUACAUAUUUGUGUGCGAGAGAGAGAGAGUGAGAUCGAAUCUUAGUAUU